CUACGGGGUGCUGCAGUGAGGAAUAUUGCACAAUGGGGGGAACCCUGAUGCAGCAACGCCGCGUGGAGGAUGACGCAUUUCGGUGUGUAAACUCCUUUUAUAUGUCAAGAAAAUGACGGUAGCAUAUGAAUAAGCACCGGCUAACUCCGUGCCAGCAGCCGCGGUAAUACGGAGGGUGCAAGCGUUACUCGGAAUCACUGGGCGUAAAGGACGCGUAGGCGGGUUGGAAAGUCAGGUGCGAAAUCCUACAGCUUAACUGUAGAACUGCACUUGAAACUUCUAAUCUAGAGUAUGGGAGGGGGAGAUGGAAUUAGUGGUGUAGGGGUAAAAUCCGUAGAUAUCACUAGGAAUACCUAAAGCGAAGGCGAUCUCCUGGAACAUUACUGACGCCAAGGCGUGAAAGCGUGGGGAGCAAACAGGAUUAGAUACCCUUGUAGUC
RNAcentral lists this ribosomal RNA (439 nucleotides) under uncultured bacterium. RNAcentral describes it as "partial 16S ribosomal RNA". It matches the Rfam family "Bacterial small subunit ribosomal RNA", at positions 339 to 795 of the family's 1533-position model. The record is from RNAcentral.